GCUGAUCAGACGAUGGUUCUGGGAUGAAGAAGCUGGAAGAUCCCCAUGCUGCUACCAGGGAACCCGUGCCGGAGCUUUUUAAGAGUUGACGACAGGAAAACUCCUGCAAAAAAUGGAUAUAAAACGAAGGAGGGGAAAUUGCCUUUCCCUGUCCCAAGGACUUCAGAUUUCACCACCACUACUUAGGGAUGAAGAGCAUCUGGAGAAUUACAGGUGCCCCCACCACUGCUAGAAAAGAUCAAAGUAAGCACACCUGCAAAAGUCUUACAAAUGCCUCCUAUCGUGCUGGGAUAAAGAAACUGGCUAAAUGCCCUUCAUUUUCUGAGAUGAGGCCUUAAAUCUCAAGCCUUGUUUCAUUUUCUAUGCCAUUUUGAGCAGUAACAUAGGAAAGUGACACCUUCUUCAGUACACUGGAAGUUCAAGUUCUUUUUGAAGAACUUUUAAAUGGGAUUUAAGGAGAACAUUCUUUUCUAAUAGAUUAACAUGUGUAAUUGAGGCUGAACUUAAGAACAAAGAUACUAAGCCUGCAGGAUUUGGCAGAAGAAAGGAAUUCCUUUUUUUGGAGACCAAAAUCAUUAACACAACAUUCAACAAUUGUGCUUAUUAUUCCAUGAAGAUCUAGAGUGACAAUAAUUACAGAUGGAGCCAGAAUUUCUGAAUUUUUUUUCUAGCCUUCUAAAUUCAAGGAUUCAGGAACUUUGUCCAAUUUGUUAUGGAAAGAUAAAACAACUCUAAACAACCACA
Long non-coding RNA from Python bivittatus (Burmese python), 744 nucleotides. RefSeq lists it as uncharacterized. The record is from RefSeq and is a predicted model, not a curated record. NCBI's taxonomy places the organism in Eukaryota, Metazoa, Chordata, Lepidosauria, Squamata, Pythonidae.